CCUACGGGAGGCAGCAGUGAGGAAUAUUGGUCAAUGGGCGCGAGCCUGAACCAGCCAAGUAGCGUGAAGGAUGACUGCCCUACGGGUUGUAAACUUCUUUUAUAAAGGCAUAAAGUGAGGCACGUGUGCCUUUUUGUAUGUACUUUAUGAAUAAGGAUUGGCUAACUACGUGCCAGCAGCCGCGGUAAUACGGAGGAUCCGAGCGUUAUCCGGAUUUAUUGGGUUUAAAGGGAGCGUAGAUGGGUUGUUAAGUCAGUUGUGAAAGUUUGCGGCUCAACCGUAAAAUUGCAAUUGAUACUGGCAGCCUUGAGUACAGUUGAGGUAGGCGGAAUUCGUGGUGUAGCGGUGGAAUGCUUAGAUAUCACGAAGAACUCCGGUUGCGAAGGCAGCCUACUAAACUGCCACUGACAUUGAUGCGCGAAAGUGUGGGGAUCAAACAGGAUUAGAUACCCGAGUAGUC
This 460-nucleotide ribosomal RNA is filed under the name uncultured bacterium. RNAcentral's name for it is "partial 16S ribosomal RNA". It matches the Rfam family "Bacterial small subunit ribosomal RNA", at positions 338 to 795 of the family's 1533-position model. The record is from RNAcentral.